AGUGAACGCUGGCGGUAGGCCUAACACAUGCAAGUCGAACGGCAGCACAGUAAGAGCUUGCUCUUACGGGUGGCGAGUGGCGGACGGGUGAGGAAUACAUCGGAAUCUACUUUUUCGUGGGGGAUAACGUAGGGAAACUUACGCUAAUACCGCAUACGACCUACGGGUGAAAGCAGGGGAUCUUCGGACCUUGCGCGAUUGAAUGAGCCGAUGUCGGAUUAGCUAGUUGGCGGGGUAAAGGCCCAUCAAGGCGACGAUCCGUAGCUGGUCUGAGAGGAUGAUCAGCCACACUGGAACUGAGACACGGUCCAGACUCCUACGGGAGGCAGCAGUGGGGAAUAUUGGACAAUGGGCGCAAGCCUGAUCCAGCCAUACCGCGUGGGUGAAGAAGGCCUUCGGGCUGUAAAGCCCUUUUGUUGGGAAAGAAAAGCAGCAGGUUAAUACCCCGCUGUUCUGACGGUACCCAAAGAAUAAGCACCGGCUAACUUCGUG
Molecule: ribosomal RNA, 492 nt
Filed under: uncultured bacterium
Lineage: Bacteria
Description: partial 16S ribosomal RNA
Rfam family: Bacterial small subunit ribosomal RNA
Source: RNAcentral